RNAcentral lists this ribosomal RNA (877 nucleotides) under Ochromonas sp. CCMP1393. Its description in RNAcentral is "partial Bacterial large subunit ribosomal RNA". It matches the Rfam family "Bacterial large subunit ribosomal RNA", at positions 1603 to 2498 of the family's 2925-position model. The record is from RNAcentral. Lineage: Eukaryota; Chrysophyceae; Chromulinales; Chromulinaceae.
CAUUUUCAGGAAAUAGCUUUGAUUUCGUUUUUUUAAACUAAAACCGUACUUAAACCGACACAGGUAAAUAAAUUUAGUAAAUUAAGAUGUUGAGUUAACUGUUGUUGAAGGAACUCGGCAAAAUGACUCCGUAACUUCGGGAUAAGGAGUGGCUUUUUUUGGGCAACCUUUUUAAGCUCACAGAAAAUCGGGAACAGCGACUGUUUAAUAAAAACACAGGUUUCUGCUAAUUUGUAAAAAGAUGUAUAGAAACUGACGCCUGCCCAGUGCUAAAAAACUAACGAAAAAAGUUUUGGCUUUAAUCCUAACUUUUAGUAAACGGCGGCUGUAACUCUGACGGUCCAAAGGUAGCGAAAUUCCUUGUCGGGUAAGUUCCGACCUGCACGAAUGGUGCAACGAUCUGGACACUGUCUCAGCCAUGAGCUCGGUGAAAUUGUAGUAUCGGUGAAGAUGCCGAUUACCCGCAGCGGGACGAAAAGACCCCGUGAACCUUUACUAUAGCUUCGUAUUGACUUUGGAUAAGUAAUGUGUAGGAUAGGUGGGAGACUAUGAAAUGGCGUCGCUAGGCGUUGUGGAGUCGUUGUUGAAAUACCACCCUUUGCUUAUCUGAAGCCUAACCUCUUACGAGGAACAGUGCGUGGUGGGUAGUUUGACUGGGGUGGUCGCCUCCAAAAGAGUAACGGAGGCUUCUAAAGGUACCCUCAGCACGCUUGGUAACCGUGCGUAGAGUGCAAUGGCAUAAGGGUGCUUGACUGAGAGACAUACAGGUCGAUCAGGUUGGAAACAAGAGCAUAGUGAUCCGGUGGUUCCGCAUGGAAGGGCCAUCGCUCAAAGGAUAAAAGGUACUCCGGGAUAACAGGCUGAUCUCCCCCAAGAG